ACAUUUUUACGCCCGACUUUUAUUCAUUUUGAGUCAAUUUAUUUUUAUUUUUUAGUCAAAAUGUUCAUAAUAUUAAAAUAGAAUUAAUUAUGGUCUCAUUUAGUUUUUAUUUUGUUUAUUUUAUUUUAUUUUGUUUCAUUUUUAUUUGUUUUAAUUACUUCACACUCAUUAUGUACUACAAAAAUAUCUAGGGGUAUUUUUGAGAAAAAUAAUUUGGAUAACCCUAAUUGUAAUGCUAUAUAUAUU
RNAcentral lists this long non-coding RNA (246 nucleotides) under Lathyrus oleraceus (garden pea). Its description in RNAcentral is "Pisum sativum (pea) long non-coding RNA (PSAT_LNC028021)". Lineage: Eukaryota; Viridiplantae; Streptophyta; Magnoliopsida; Fabales; Fabaceae. The record is from RNAcentral.